RNAcentral lists this non-coding RNA (253 nucleotides) under uncultured bacterium. Its description in RNAcentral is "partial 16S ribosomal RNA". It matches the Rfam family "Bacterial small subunit ribosomal RNA", at positions 524 to 776 of the family's 1533-position model. The record is from RNAcentral. RNAcentral also lists the same sequence under 1 other name.
UACGAAGGGGGCUAGCGUUGCUCGGAAUUACUGGGCGUAAAGGGCGCGUAGGCGGCUUGCUUAGUCAGACGUGAAAAUCCUGGGCUUAACCUGGGGACUGCGUUUGAUACGGGCAGGCUUGAGGAUGGAAGAGGCUCGUGGAAUUCCCAGUGUAGAGGUGAAAUUCGUAGAUAUUGGGAAGAACACCGGUGGCGAAGGCGGCGAGCUGGUCCAUUACUGACGCUGAGGCGCGACAGCGUGGGGAGCAAACAGG